Molecule: long non-coding RNA, 716 nt
Organism: Lutra lutra (Eurasian river otter)
Lineage: Eukaryota; Metazoa; Chordata; Mammalia; Carnivora; Mustelidae
Exons: 2
Source: RefSeq, a predicted model, not a curated record
CAAAGCCGGAACGCUGAAGGGACGAGAGGGCUCGUUCGGUGGGCAGAGCCAGGGCUGAAGCACCAGGCUCUGCCGCAGCAGAUCCCGGCGUGUCUCAGCUCCGCCUCCGGCCCUGGCCCCUUUCCCCGGCCCGGGUCGGGUCUUCCAUUCCACUGUUUGGCUGGGAGAGGUCGAAGACGCGCUGGGUGCACAGGGGGCUGGAUGCAGCCAUAAAUCUCUAUGCGGGACCUCCUUCCCGUUGCUCACACUCUGGUGCUCCUGGCCGGCCUCCCAUACGGACUUCACCGGGGGCCCUGCUCUCCUGGUCACAGCUUGGGGUCCCUGAGACAGUGCAGGGAGUCAAGCCAGGAGCUUCCCCGUUCACCAAAGAGAGAAACGGACUCACCCAUUCAGUGCCAUCACCUUCCAUCCCUGCAGUCGGCGGACCCCAGGCAGCCCGGGCCUCACCAGAUCGCAGCCUGGGGAAGGGCCCCCGGCCGGGCACUAGCUCCUAGGAAGGCAUACUCUGGACUUUUCGCCUCUCAGCCCUGAGUCGGCUCCCACAUCAGCCACCAGCUUUCGGCUUUGGUACAAAUAGCCCAACCAUGGGGAGAGCAGUAAUCGGCGGGGCGCUAGUGGCCGCCUGGUAGGGGCGGUGGUCUUUCUACCUGAACAGUCACGGAGCAUUUGGGGGACAGACCCAGAGAAGGUGCAUUUGCAAUAAUGUCUUACUGUCA